Molecule: long non-coding RNA, 820 nt
Organism: Oryza brachyantha (malo sina)
Lineage: Eukaryota; Viridiplantae; Streptophyta; Magnoliopsida; Poales; Poaceae
Exons: 3
Source: RefSeq, a predicted model, not a curated record
UUGAUGCGAGUCGGCAAAUGGAGUCGGAUAUCUGGUCUAGUAGGUAGGUUGUGUUUUUAGUCGGAGGGAUCCCUAAUCCACUAUAUUAGCAUCAGGCCGGGGCCCCUACUAUUGGAGACAGUAAUUAAUCUCAAGUUGUCAACACGAAUUAAUUAAGCAACGUGCGUGCGUAUGGCGGCGGCGUUUCGAUCAGCGGCGACGAGGCUCGCUGCGUUCCGGCGACCCCAGACGGCCGGGAGGAUCUUCUCACCGGCGGUCCAGGAGGAGCAACGGCUUAUCCUUGGCUCUCCGCCGCCACCGCCGGUUAGCACUCUGUCUUCCCGCCGGUUCUGCUCCUCCGCUCCAGUCCAAGAACAACCCUGCAACACCAAUAAUACCACUCCUAAUAACAAGAAUUGGACAAGAUCUCGAGCAGCGUAUAACUAAUAUUGAAGAGAAGAAAAAAGAGCUGUUCCACAUGCUAGCUCAGCUGGACACUGACUACCCGUCAAGUUCAAAGUAUUAUGGUUUUUCAAAAAGUUCUGAGUAUUAUCGGGAUUGCAGGAGGCUGAUCUACUUGCUUGUUGAACAGCUCCGUUACCAUGAUACAGAAAUGCAUGACCCUCUAUGGCCCAUGUAUGAAAGAAGAAAAAUACUCAUGGUUCGCUUGAAGUUUGGUGCAGCCAUAUUAUAUUUCAUUAGUAUUUUGGUAUAUGCGUUUAAUAGCUGAAAGCAGGAAGGGUGGCAUUUUAACUGACACGGGAAGCAAAAUAAUAGUUAUUGACAGGGGUGGAUAGAGAGCUCGUGGCUCGUUAGCUCGUUCGACUCGUGACAAACUCGG